GGAAGGUUUCUUUGCUGCAUGUUAGAGACUGUGACCAGGUGGCAUAGUGAUAGAGCCACAUAUGAAAAGGAAUGUGGAAACUAUCCAGGAUUCCUUACCAUAUUACGGGCAACUGGAUUUGAUGGUGGAAAUAAGGCUGAUCAAUUAGACUAUGAAAAUUUUCGACAUGUUGUACAUAAAUGGCAUUACAAACUAACCAAGGCAUCAGUACAUUGCCUUGAAACAGGCGAAUAUACUCACAUCAGGAAUAUCUUGAUUGUGCUAACAAAAAUACUUCCUUGGUACCCAAAAGUUUUGAAUCUGGGUCAAGCUUUGGAAAGAAGAGUACACAAAAUCUGCCAAGAAGAAAAAGAGAAGAGGCCAGAUCUAUAUGCAUUGGCUAUGGGGUAACAAAAUUAUAUUUUAAUGUGAUUUACAAGACUAGAUGACAGAAGGAUUCUGAAGACUUUAAAAUGUUUUACAGUGUUGAAGUUUAUCUUCUGCCUUCAGGAGAUUAUGGGAGAUUAUGCGAUCAUGUUUCCACAGGCUGGUGAGAGUUACCACUUCUGAUUAUCAACUUCCGGUCUAUACUGGAUGAUAGUUUUUUUAAAGUCAUAUAUAAUAUUUCUUGAUUGGGAGGAAAUAUAAUUUUAUCAUCAUAGUUAACAGAUCUUCAAGAGU
This 660-nucleotide small RNA is filed under the name Pan troglodytes (chimpanzee). Its description in RNAcentral is "retained intron". Lineage: Eukaryota; Metazoa; Chordata; Mammalia; Primates; Hominidae. The record is from RNAcentral.